GAGUUUGAUCAUGGCUCAGAACGUACGCUGGCGGCACGCCUAACACAUGCAAGUCGAACGAAGUAGCAAUACUUAGUGGCAGACGGGUGAGUAACAUGUGGGUAUCUACCCUUUGGCCUGGAAUAACACGAGGAAACUUGUGCUAAUACCGGAUAAGUCUUUACGGAGAAAGCUUUAUGCACCAUUGGAUGAGCCCGCACUUGAUUAGUUUGUUGGUAGGGUAAUGGCCUACCAAGACUAUGAUCAAUAGCUGAUUUGAGAGGAUGAUCAGCCACAUUGGGACUGAGACACGGCCCAAACUCCUACGGGAGGCAGCAGUGGGGAAUCUUGCACAAUGGAGGAAACUCUGAUGCAGCGAUGCCGCGUGAAUGAAGAAGGCCUUUGGGUUGUAAAG
RNAcentral lists this ribosomal RNA (394 nucleotides) under uncultured Alphaproteobacteria bacterium. Its description in RNAcentral is "bacterial SSU rRNA". It matches the Rfam family "Bacterial small subunit ribosomal RNA", at positions 9 to 430 of the family's 1533-position model. Lineage: Bacteria; Pseudomonadati; Pseudomonadota; Alphaproteobacteria. The record is from RNAcentral.